GCCACCCUAGCUCAGCUGGUAGAGCAACGCAUUCGUAAUGCGUAGGUCGGCGGUUCGAAUCCGCUGGGUGGCUCCA
This 76-nucleotide transfer RNA is filed under the name Gemmatimonadota bacterium. RNAcentral describes it as "Gemmatimonadetes bacterium tRNA-Thr". It matches the Rfam family "tRNA". Rfam says of the family: Transfer RNA (tRNA) molecules are approximately 80 nucleotides in length. Lineage: Bacteria; Pseudomonadati; Gemmatimonadota. The record is from RNAcentral.